AGAGUUUGAUCCUGGCUCAGGAUGAACGCUAGCGGCAGGCUUAAUACAUGCAAGUCGAGGGGGAUUAACUGGGUAGUAAUACUCGGUUAUGAGACCGGCAAACGGGUGCGGAACACGUACGCAACCUUCCCAAAACUGGUGAAUAGCCCUCCGAAAGGAGGAUUAAUACACCGUAACUUAAUGAAGUGGCAUCACUUUAUUAAUAUAGCUCCGGCGGUUUUGGAUGGGCGUGCGCCUGAUUAGGUAGUUGGCGGGGUAACGGCCCACCAAGCCUACGAUCAGUAACUGGUGUGAGAGCACGACCAGUCACACGGGCACUGAGACACGGGCCCGACUCCUACGGGAGGCAGCAGUAAGGAAUAUUGGUCAAUGGACGCAAGUCUGAACCAGCCAUGCCGCGUGAAGGAUGACGGCCCUCUGGGUUGUAAACUUCUUUUAUCUGGGACGAAAAAAGAUCAUUCUUGAUCACUUGACGGUACCAGAGGAAUAAGCACCGGCUAACUCCGUGCCAGCAGCCGCGGUAAUACGGAGGGUGCAAGCGUUAUCCGGAUUUACUGGGUUUAAAGGGUGCGUAGGUGGGCCUGUAAGUCAGUGGUGAAAUCUUCGAGCUUAACUCGGAAACUGCCAUUGAUACUAUAGGUCUUGAAUCAUCUGGAGGUGAGCGGAAUAUGUCAUGUAGCGGUGAAAUGCUUAGAUAUGACAUAGAACACCGAUUGCGAAGGCAGCUCACUACGGAUGUAUUGACACUGAGGCACGAAAGCGUGGGGAUCAAACAGGAUUAGAUACCCUGGUAGUCG
Molecule: ribosomal RNA, 797 nt
Filed under: uncultured bacterium
Lineage: Bacteria
Description: bacterial SSU rRNA
Rfam family: Bacterial small subunit ribosomal RNA
Source: RNAcentral